CUCUGUGACUACUACGGGAGCAGCAGUGGGGAAUAUUGCACAAUGGGCGCAAGCCUGAUGCAGCAACGCCGUGUGAGUGAAGAAGGUUUUCGGAUCGUAAAACUCUGUCCUAAGGGAAGAAACAAAUGACGGUACCUUAGGAGGAAGCCCCGGCUAACUACGUGCCAGCAGCCGCGGUAAUACGUAGGGGGCAAGCGUUAUCCGGAAUCACUGGGCGUAAAGGGUGCGUAGGCGGCUUAGCAAGCCAGGGGUGAAAGGCAUUGGCUCAACCAAUGUAAGCCUUUGGAACUGUUAAGCUUGAGUGCAGGAGAGGUAAGUGGAAUUCCUAGUGUAGAGGUGAAAUUCGUAGAUAUUAGGAGGAACACCAGUGGCGAAGGCGACUUACUGGACUGUAACUGACGCUGAUGCACGAAAGCGUGGGUAGCGAACAGGAUUAGAUACCCUGGUAG
This 449-nucleotide ribosomal RNA is filed under the name uncultured bacterium. RNAcentral's name for it is "bacterial SSU rRNA". It matches the Rfam family "Bacterial small subunit ribosomal RNA", at positions 328 to 793 of the family's 1533-position model. The record is from RNAcentral.